GAUGAAGAACGCAGCGAAAUGCGAUACGUAGUGUGAAUUGCAGAAUUCAGUGAAUCAUCGAAUCUUUGAACGCACAUUGCACCUCUCGGUAUUCCGGGAGGCAUGCCUGUUCGAGCGUCAUUAAAAUCACUCAAGCUUAGGUUUACCUAUUGCUUGGUCUUGGAGAUGGAAGCCAAUUUAUUGGAAUCCUCUUCGAAAUUCAAUGGCGAAGACCCUUGCUCUCCCAAGUGUAGUAAUAACUUAUGUCACUGAAGGAAGCGAGAAAUCUUCUGCCGUAACCCCCAUAUUUUCUAUGAUUGACCUCGGAUCAGGUAGGGAUACCCGCUGAACUUAAGCAUAUCAAUAAGCGGAGGA
RNAcentral lists this unclassified non-coding RNA (354 nucleotides) under soil metagenome. RNAcentral describes it as "partial contains 5.8S ribosomal RNA, internal transcribed spacer 2, and large subunit ribosomal RNA". The stretch from base 1 to 120 matches the Rfam family "5.8S ribosomal RNA", at positions 35 to 154 of the family's 154-position model. The record is from RNAcentral.